Lactuca sativa (garden lettuce) is the source of this 1041-nucleotide long non-coding RNA. RefSeq lists it as uncharacterized. Lineage: Eukaryota; Viridiplantae; Streptophyta; Magnoliopsida; Asterales; Asteraceae. The record is from RefSeq and is a predicted model, not a curated record.
UACAAAUUCACAGCCGCUGUCAUCAUCGACCCUAUCAAUCUAGAUCACAAUCGUUUCUUACAUAUCUGAAAAUCAUGAAAAUCAUGCACAUAGAUCAAAAAGCUGUUAAAGAUCCGCUAUACAUUGAUCUGUAUAGCCAGUCACUCACACUAUACAUUGAUCUGUAUGCUGUUGUCAGCCUAGUAGAAUCAGAUUACUAUCAGUUAGGUGUUCAUAACAUUUCAAGAGUUGGUUUUGUGGGUUUGUGAGAGGCCCAUGUAUAUGAUGCUUGGGAAGAUUCCUGUAGCGGAGCGUAAAGAAGAAAGAAUGGCACCCCUACUUAAUUUGCUCAGGCGAUAUCAUCUACCGGCCACAUGUGUGCAUCAGGGUUGCCAAUUAUGUCAGUCAAUAAAUCCGGACCAUAUCUAUUCCAUUAACCGGAUAGGCCUCUUCAGAUUAAUGUAUUAGAUAAACGGUGGAUACAAUCAACAUGAAAUUUAUAUCGGGAUACUGUUGGAUCAGGCCACUCAAUACACGAAGUAACACAGAUACAAAAGUGAAGAGAGCAUUGAGACAGAGGAAUUAUCUUUCUUAUUCUUAUUCACUUCCCUGUAACAACGAGUACAACUACAUCUAUUUAAACAACAAGAAAUAACAAACUAAGCUGAAAACUAGCUACACAAUGUGCUGCUAUCUAAGUGGCAACUAAGCCACGUUAUAUCCUCCAAACCUAGUCAACUAAUAACCCAUGACACCCGUUUGCCCAUUGCCCGUUAAUCGGUUAAACAAACCGAUUAACCAAACAGAUACAUCAACUAGUUCGAUCGAUUAAAAAAGCCUAAGUACAAAACAUCUACUGGACGAGCUUUAUACAAGUCUUUGUUGAUAAAAGUAGCGGAUAUGGUGUUGUUUGGCUACAGGGUGGAUUAAUCUUUGUUUAGAAACCGUUUUAUUUUCUAUUAGUGUAUUUGUAUGAGUAUAAAUGUAUAUGAAAUGGGUGUCCGUAUGUGUACGUGUGUCCAUUGUAUAUGAAUUUGAAUACCACAAGAUCCUAUAUGAAUA